RNAcentral lists this ribosomal RNA (498 nucleotides) under uncultured bacterium. Its description in RNAcentral is "partial 16S ribosomal RNA". It matches the Rfam family "Bacterial small subunit ribosomal RNA", at positions 30 to 523 of the family's 1533-position model. The record is from RNAcentral.
AUUGAACGCUGGCGGCAUGCCUUACACAUGCAAGUCGAACGGUAACAGGUCUUCGGAUGCUGACGAGUGGCGAACGGGUGAGUAACACAUCGGAACGUGCCUAGUAGUGGGGGAUAACUACUCGAAAGAGUGGCUAAUACCGCAUGAGAUCUACGGAUGAAAGCAGGGGAUCGCAAGACCUUGUGCUACUAGAGCGGCCGAUGGCAGAUUAGGUAGUUGGUGGGAUAAAAGCUUACCAAGCCGACGAUCUGUAGCUGGUCUGAGAGGACGAUCAGCCACACUGGGACUGAGACACGGCCCAGACUCCUACGGGAGGCAGCAGUGGGGAAUCUUGGACAAUGGGCGCAAGCCUGGUCCAGCAAUGCCGCGUGCAGGAUGAAGGCCUUCGGGUUGUAAACUGCUUUUGUACGGAACGAAAAGCCCCGGGUUAAUACCCUGGGGUCAUGACGGUACCGUAAGAAUAAGCACCGGCUAACUACGUGCCAGCCGCCGCGGUAA